This 1075-nucleotide ribosomal RNA is filed under the name Ficus carica (common fig). Its description in RNAcentral is "bacterial LSU rRNA". It matches the Rfam family "Bacterial large subunit ribosomal RNA", at positions 798 to 1978 of the family's 2925-position model. The record is from RNAcentral. Lineage: Eukaryota; Viridiplantae; Streptophyta; Magnoliopsida; Rosales; Moraceae.
UCUCGGAUGACUUGUGGUUAGGGGUGAAAGGCCAAUCAAACCGGGAAAUAGCUGGUUCUCCGCGAAAUCUAUUUAGGUAGAGCCUCGCAUGUAUGUCACGGGGGGUAGAGCACUGGAUGGGCUAGGGGGGCUUACCGCCUUACCAAACCUAACCAAACUCCGAAUACCCGUGAACUUGUGCGGGAGGCACACGGUGGGUGCUAACGUCCAUCGUGAAGAGGGAAACAACCCAGACCAACAGCUAAGGCCCCCAAUUCGCGGCUAAGUGGGAAAGGAUGUGGGAAUCCCAAAACAACCAGGAGGUUGGCUUAGAAGCAGCCAUCCUUUAAAGAAAGCGUAACAGCUCACUGGUCUAGACAAGGGUUCCUGCGCCGAAGAUGUACCGGGGCUCAAGCCGCGAGCCGAAGCUUUGGGUUCACGAGCGAUCGUGAGCGGUAGCGGAGCGUUCCGUAGGUCCGUGAAGGGACAGCCGCGAGGCAUCCUGGAGAUAUCGGAAGUGCGAAUGCUGACAUGAGUAACGACAAACGCUGUGAAAGACAGCGUCGCCGAAAGUCCAAGGGUUCCUGCGUAAAGUUAAUCUUCGCAGGGUUAGCCGGCCCCUAAGGCGAGGCCGAAAGGCGUAGUCGAUGGGAACGGGGCGAACAUUCCCCGGCCAGCGGAUGGUGACGGAUGCCGUGUAUCGUUUGACCUUAUCGGAUUGGUCAGGCGGUGAAGGGGUCCCAGGAAAUAGCCUCCGCGUGAGACCGUACCCGAAACCGACACAGGUGGACUGGUAGAGUAUACCAAGGCGCUUGAGAGAAGUGUCCUGAAGGAACUCGGCAAAUUGCCUCCGUACCUUCGGAAGAAGGAGGCCCCGGCUAUGCGCAAGCACUGCCGGGGGGCACAGGCCAGGGGGUAGCGACUGUUUAGCAAAAACACAGGGCUCUGCUAAGUCGGCUUCAAGACGACGUAUAGGGUCUGACGCCUGCCCGGUGCCGGAAGGUUAAGAGGAGAGGUGAGAGCUUUGAAUCGAAGCCCCGGUAAACGGCGGCCGUAACAAUAACGGUCCUAAGGUAGCGAAAUUCCUUGUCGGGUA